Long non-coding RNA from Lates calcarifer (barramundi perch), 2495 nucleotides. RefSeq lists it as uncharacterized. The record is from RefSeq and is a predicted model, not a curated record. The transcript has 9 exons. Lineage: Eukaryota; Metazoa; Chordata; Actinopteri; Centropomidae.
ACGACGUGGCUCGUCAUUGGUCACGAGCUUCUGGGAGGAGCUGUUCAGAGAGGCGAAUCAGAUAUGAACCAUGUUCGAAUAAUUGCCUCCGUUUGCCAGUAGUGCGGGGGAACGUCGUCAACGAGGUCCGGAUGCUUAAACUUUUUGUGGGACGCAGGUUUACUGGUUCAGCUGCUGCAGCCUGGACUACGAAGGGAGUUUAAGCCACUCUGAUUUAACUCGGGUUAUCAAGGAACGUCGGGGUUGACAGACGUCGGCUGCCUCGAUCUGCGUUAACUACGGCGAUGGUGAAGAUGUCGGUGUCUCCACUUUGUCCACGAUCACAGAGAGUCUUCACACAAUGAAGAAGUUCUUUGAGACCAGGACACAGGCCUCCAGGUGUCUCCACUUCGUCUUCGUACAGUGAAGAAGUUCUUUGAGACCAGGACUGAGGCCUCCAGGUGUCUCCACUUUGUCCACGAUCACAGAGAGUCUUCACACAAUGAAGAAGUUCUUUGAGACCAGGACACAGGCCUCCAGGUUCCUCCACUUUGUCCACGAUCACAGAGAGUCUUCACACAAUGAAGAAGUUCUUUGAGACCAGGACACAGGCCUCCAGGUAAUUCACACACUGUCAAACACAAAACACUAUCAGGAAAGUGUAAUAAGAGAAGUAAUGUAGAAGCAAUUAGCAAGUCAGAGUAAUCUGUUACUAGAUGUAGUUUGCAACAGUAAAAGUUAAAUGUAAAUUUAGAACUAAUUUGUAAUAUAAAAGCAAUGCAAAAGUAAUAGUAAAUCAAAAUAGAAAUAAAAGUCACAGUGUAGUCAGGAGUCACUAAAUGUAACAAUAAAGUAUUAAAAACUGUCAGUGUAGUCAGGAGUCACUAAAUGUAACAGUAAAGUAUUAAAAACUGUUAAAAACUGUCAGUGUAGUCAGGAGUCACUAAAUGUCACAGUAAGAUGUCAAAAUGUCAGUCUAGUCACUAAAUGUAACAGUAAAGUAUUAAAAACUGUCUCAAACUGUCAGUGUAGUCAGGAGUCACUAAAUGUCACAGUAAGAUGUCAAAAUGUCAGUCUAGUCACUAAAUGUCACAGUAAGAUGUCAAACUGUCAGUCUAGGCAUUAAAUGUAACAGUAAAGUAUUAAAAACUGUCUCAAACUGUCAGUGUAGUCACUAAAUGUCAAAGUACAGUAAAGUGUUAAAACUGUCACAAACUGUCAGUGUAGUCAGGAGUCACUAAAUGUCACAGUAAGAUGUCAAACUGUCAGUCUAGUCACUAAAAGUAACAGUACAGUAAAGUGUUAAAACUGUCAGUGUAGUCAGUCUAGUCACUAAAUGUCAAAGUACAGUAAAGUGUUAAAACUGUCUCAAACUGUCAGUGUAGUCAGGAGUCACUAAAUGUCACAGUAAGAUGUCAAACUGUCAGUCUAGGCAUUAAAUGUAACAGUAAAGUAUUAAAAACUGUCUCAAACUGUCAGCAUAGUCAGGAGUCACUAAAUGUCACAGUAAGAUGUCAAACUGUCAGUCUAGGCAUUAAAUGUAACAGUAAAGUGUUAAAACUGUCUCAAACUGUCAGUGUAGUCACUAAAUGUAACAGUAAAGUAUUAAAAACUGUCUCAAACUGUCAGCGUAGUCAGGAGUCACUAAAUGUCACAGUAAGGUGUCAAACUGUCAGUCUAGUCACUAAAUGUAACAGUACAGUAAAGUGUUAAAACUGUCUCAAACUGUCAGUGUAGUCAGGAGUCACUAAAUGUCACAGUAAGGUGUCAAACUGUCAGUCUAGUCACUAAAUGUAACAGUACAGUAAAGUGUUAAAACUGUCACAAACUGUCAGCGUAGUCAGGAGUCACUAAAUGUCACAGUAAGAUGUCAAAAUGUCAGUCCAGUCACUAAAUGUAACAGUAAAGUAUUAAAAACUGUCUCAAAAUGUCAGUCUAGUCACUAAAUGUAACAGUACAGUAAAGUGUUAAAACUGUCAGUGUAGUCAGGAGUCACUAAAUGUCACAGUAAGGUGUCAAACUGUCAGUCUAGGCAUUAAAUGUAACAGUAAAGUAUCAAAAACUGUCAGUGUAGUCAGGAGUCACUAAAUGUCACAGUAAGAUGUCAAACUGUCAGUCUAGUCACUAAAUGUAACAGUACAGUAAAGUGUCAAAAACUGUCAGUGUAGUCAGGAGUCACUAAAUGUCACAGUAAGGUGUCAAAAUGUCAGUCUAGUCACUAAAUGUAACAGUAAAGUAUUAAAAACUGUUAAAAACGGUCAGUGUAGUCAGGAGUCACUAAAUGUAACAGUAAGAUGUCAAACUGUCAGUCUAGUCACUAAAUGUAACAGUACAGUAAAGUGUUAAAACUGUCACAAACUGUCAGCGUAGUCAGGAGUCACUAAAUGUCACAGUAAGGUGUCAAACUGUCAGUCUAGUCACUAAAUGUCAAAGUACAGUAAAGUGUUAAAACUGUCACAAACUGUCAGCGUAGUCAGGAGUCACUAAAUGUCACAGUAAGAUGUCAAACUGUCAGU